This 253-nucleotide ribosomal RNA is filed under the name uncultured bacterium. Its description in RNAcentral is "partial 16S ribosomal RNA". It matches the Rfam family "Bacterial small subunit ribosomal RNA", at positions 524 to 776 of the family's 1533-position model. The record is from RNAcentral.
UACGUAGGUGACAAGCGUUAUUCGGAUUUAUUGGGCGUAAAGCGCACGCAGGCGGCUGAUUAAGUCUGACGUGAAAUCUCCCGGCUUAACCGGGAGCGGUCGUUGGAAACUAAUUGGCUUGAGGCGAUGAGAGGGGUGUGGAAUUCCCGGUGUAGUGGUGGAAUGCGUAGAUAUCGGGAGGAACAUCAGUGGCGAAAGCGGCACCCUGGCAUUAGCCUGACGCUCAUGUGCGAAAGCGUGGGGAGCGAACGGG